This 1284-nucleotide ribosomal RNA is filed under the name uncultured bacterium. Its description in RNAcentral is "bacterial SSU rRNA". It matches the Rfam family "Bacterial small subunit ribosomal RNA", at positions 94 to 1399 of the family's 1533-position model. The record is from RNAcentral.
AGUGGCGGACGGGUGAGUAACGCGUGAGGAACCUGCCUUUCAGAGGGGGACAACAGUUGGAAACGACUGCUAAUACCGCAUGACACAUAGAGAUCGCAUGGUUUUUAUGUCAAAGAUUUAUCGCUGAAAGAUGGCCUCGCGUCUGAUUAGCUAGUUGGUGAGGUAACGGCCCACCAAGGCGACGAUCAGUAGCCGGACUGAGAGGUUGACCGGCCACAUUGGGACUGAGAUACGGCCCAGACUCCUACGGGAGGCAGCAGUGGGGAAUAUUGGGCAAUGGGCGCAAGCCUGACCCAGCAACGCCGCGUGAAGGAAGAAGGCUUUCGGGUUGUAAACUUCUUUUGUCGGGGACGAGUAGAAGACGGUACCUGGCGAAUAAGCCACGGCUAACUACGUGCCAGCAGCCGCGGUAAUACGUAGGUGGCAAGCGUUGUCCGGAUUUACUGGGUGUAAAGGGCGUGUAGCCGGGAAGGCAAGUCAGAUGUGAAAUCCACGGGCUUAACUCGUGAACUGCAUUUGAAACUACUUUUCUUGAGUAUCGGAGAGGCAAUCGGAAUUCCUAGUGUAGCGGUGAAAUGCGUAGAUAUCGGGAGGAACACCAGUGGCGAAGGCGGCCUUCUGGGCACCAACUGACGCUGAGGCUCGAAAGUGUGGGUAGCAAACAGGAUUUAGAUACCCUGGUAGUCCACACUGUAAACGAUGUUUAUUAGGUUGUUGGAGGAUUUGACCCCUUCAGUGCCGCAGUUAACACAAUAAGUAAUCCACCUGGGGAGUACGACCGCAAGGUUGAAACUCAAAGGAAUUGACGGGGGCCCGCACAAGCAGUGGAGUAUGUGGUUUAAUUCGACGCAACGCGAAGAACCUUACCAAGUCUUGACAUCCUGCGACGCACAUAGAAAUAUGUGUUUCCUUCGGGACGCAGAGACAGGUGGUGCAUGGUUGUCGUCAGCUCGUGUCGUGAGAUGUUGGGUUAAGUCCCGCAACGAGCGCAACCCUUAUGGUCAGUUACUACGCAAGAGGACUCUGGCCAGACUGCCGUUGACAAAACGGAGGAAGGUGGGGAUGACGUCAAAUCAUCAUGCCCUUUAUGACUUGGGCUACACACGUACUACAAUGGCGUUAAACAAAGAGAAGCAAGACCGCGAGGUGGAGCAAAACUCAGAAACAACGUCCCAGUUCGGACUGCAGGCUGCAACUCGCCUGCACGAAGUCGGAAUUGCUAGUAAUCGCAGAUCAGCAUGCUGCGGUGAAUACGUUCCCGGGCCUUGCACUCACCGCCCGUCA